Molecule: ribosomal RNA, 460 nt
Filed under: uncultured bacterium
Lineage: Bacteria
Description: partial 16S ribosomal RNA
Rfam family: Bacterial small subunit ribosomal RNA
Source: RNAcentral
CCUACGGGUGGCAGCAGUGAGGAAUAUUGGUCAAUGGACGAGAGUCUGAACCAGCCAAGUCGCGUGAAGGAUGACUGCCCUAUGGGUUGUAAACUUCUUUUAUAUGGGAAUAAAAUGUUCCACGUGUGGGAUUUUGUAUGUACCAUAUGAAUAAGGAUCGGCUAACUCCGUGCCAGCAGCCGCGGUAAUACGGAGGAUCCGAGCGUUAUCCGGAUUUAUUGGGUUUAAAUGGAGCGUAGGUGGAUUGUUAAGUCAUUUGUGAAAGUUUGCGGCUCAACAGUAAAAUUGCAGUUGAAACUGGCAGUCUUGAGUACAGUAGAGGUGGGCGGAAUUCGUGGUGUAGCGGUGAAAUGCUUAGAUAUCACGAAGAACUCCGAUUGCGAAGGCAGUUCACUGGACUGCAACUGACACUGAGGCUCGAAAGUGUGGGUAUCAAACAGGAUUAGAUACCCCAGUAGUC